Molecule: RNA transcript, 3886 nt
Organism: Colletes gigas
Lineage: Eukaryota; Metazoa; Arthropoda; Insecta; Hymenoptera; Colletidae
Gene: su(r)
Gene name: dihydropyrimidine dehydrogenase [NADP(+)]
Exons: 17
Source: RefSeq, a predicted model, not a curated record
GUCGGACGUACCUACUAUGCACAGUCAGCUUAUCGUGGCAUUUGACGCUCAACAAGUCAUCCGAGUAUGUGAUGUGUCAACACAUUACACUUGUAUAGUAACAACGAUACUUAAAACAGACAGGCCAGCUAAGUUUCACUAGCUUUCCACAGUAUCUCGAAGUAAGUUGCAUCAGAUACUACCCACGAUUUUCCGCGCAAUAACGCGAUAUCGCCCGAGUGUGCAUUGUUUACAACUAUCAUUAUUCGAACUGCGCGUAAUUUUACUAUCAUUGCGAAAUCAUGGCACCUACGGUGACAGUUAGCAGAGAUGCGCCCGAUAUCGAAAAUAUUCUGAGCCUAAAUCCGAAGAUAAAGCCGUUCGCGAACGUGAUCCCUUCGUCGUAUACGAAAGAGAAUAAGAAGAAAUGGAAAAGGAACGUUAACGAGAAGUGCAGUAAAUGUCCGCCGUUGACGAAGAAUUUCGACGACAUCAAGCACACCACAUUGAGCGAACGCGGCGCGUUGAAGGAGGCUUCUCGCUGUUUGAAAUGCACGGACGCACCUUGCCAAAAGUCAUGCCCUACCCAGCUGGACAUCAAGUCCUUCAUCACUUCCAUUUCGAACAAGAAUUAUUACGGCGCGGCGAAAGCGAUUUUAUCGGACAAUCCGCUGGGUUUGACCUGCGGCAUGGUCUGUCCAACGAGCGAUCUUUGCGUGGGCGGAUGUAACCUGUACGCGGUGGAGGAAGGGCCCAUCAACAUCGGUGGUCUUCAGCAAUUCGCCACGGACGUUUUCAAACGGAUGAACGUGCCUCAAACCAGGAUUCCUGAACAACAGGUCCCGCACGCUGACUCUAAAAUCGCGCUGCUGGGCUGUGGUCCUGCUUCUCUGUCCUGCGCGACUUUCUUAGCGCGUCUAGGCUACGACGACAUUACAAUUUUCGAGAAACAACGCUACAUCGGUGGUCUGAGCUCUUCGGAGAUCCCUCAGUACCGACUACCGUACGACGUCAUCAACUUCGAGGUGGACCUCGUUAAAGAUUUGGGAGCGAAGAUCGAGCUGGGCAGAGCGUUGUCCACGAACGAUUUAACGAUACAGGGUCUUCGAGAUUCCGGCUACAGAGCCAUCUUCUUGGGCAUCGGUCUCCCGGAAGCGAAGACCAUCCCGAUUUUCGCGGACCUCACCGAGGAAAUGGGGUUCUUCACGUCGAAGAGCUUCCUGCCGCGGGUGGCCAAGAGCAGCAAGCCGGGAAUGUGCGCCUGUAAAAGCAACCAACUGCCCUCUUUGCACGGGAACGUUAUAGUUCUCGGAGCUGGCGACACGGCGUUCGAUUGCGCCACUUCCGCCCUGAGAUGCGGCGCGAAGAAGGUCUUCGUGGUUUUCAGAAAAGGGUUCACCAACGUUCGAGCGGUCCCCGAAGAGUUCGACUUGGCCAGAGAAGAGAAAUGCGAAUUCGUGCCUUUCCAAUCGCCGCAAAAAGUGAUCACUCGCAACGGGAGGAUAGUCGCGAUAGAAUUCUGUCGAACGGAGGAAAACGAAAAUGGCGAGUGGGUAGAAAGCGAGGAUGAAAUUUGUAGGCUGAAGGCGGAUUUCAUUAUAUCUGCAUUUGGAUCAGGAUUGCAGGAUCGUAGUGUGAUCCAAGCAAUGGCUCCCCUUAAAAUGAACAAAUGGAAUUUGCCGGAAGUGGACACAAACACCAUGAGCACAUCCGUGCCUGGUGUUUUCUGCGGCGGGGAUCUGGCUGGUAUCGCGAACACCACCGUCGAGUCCGUGAACGAUGGAAAAAUAGCUGCCUGGCAGAUCCACAAGUUCAUCCAGAACUCUCACAAUUUGGAAGUGCCCGAGGUUCCUCGACUGCCUAAAUUUCAUACUCCGAUCGACGAUGUUGACCUGAGCGUUGAAAUGUGCGGGAUGAAGUUCGAAAAUCCGUUUGGCCUCGCCUCUGCGCCACCUUGCACCACCAGCGCCAUGAUCAGACGAGCGUUCGAAGCGGGUUGGGCCUUCACUGUUACCAAAACAUUCUCCUUGGACAAAGACCUUGUCACUAACGUGUCCCCGCGGAUAAUCAGAGGUUCGACUUCGCGUCAUCUUUACGGACCGGAUCAAGGCAGUUUCCUAAACAUCGAAUUGAUAUCCGAGAAAACGGCAGCUUACUGGUGCAAGAGCGUCACGGAACUGAAGAAAGAUUUCCCCACUAAGAUUAUUAUAGCUAGUAUUAUGUGCACGUACAAUAAAGCAGAUUGGACGGAGCUUGCUCAACAAGCUGAAUCUGCUGGUGCGGAUGGCUUGGAAUUGAAUCUGUCUUGUCCACACGGAAUGGGAGAGUCUGGAAUGGGCCUAGCUUGUGGACAAGAUCCUGAACUGGUGAGAAACAUCUCGAGAUGGGUCCGGGCGGCUGUGAAGAUACCAUUCUUCGUGAAACUGACGCCAAACAUCACCGACAUUGUUUCAAUAGCUAAGGCGGCGUACGAAGGUCAAGCUGACGGAGUGUCUGCCAUAAACACUGUGUCAGGAAUAAUGGGUUUGCAUGCUGAUGCAACCCCAUGGCCAGCCGUUGGUAUCAAAAAGGCCACUACCUAUGGUGGUGUUUCGGGGAACGCAACGAGACCUCAAGCUUUACGAGCCGUUUCCUCCAUUUCGAAAAGCAUCCCAGGAUUCCCCAUACUCGGAAUCGGUGGUGUCGAUUCAGCAGACGUUGCUCUACAAUUUCUUCACUGCGGUGCAUCGGUUGUGCAGGUCUGUAGCGCCAUACAGAAUCAAGAUUUCACUUUGAUCGACGAUUAUGUAACUGGCUUGAAAGCUUUGCUGUACUUGAAGAGCCUGAAGCAGGUGAAAGACUGGGACGGACAGAGUCCGCCGACCUUCAGCCAUCAAAAGGGAAAACCGGUUUCCUUGCAACAUGCUCUUGGCAAGAAUAUACCGUACUUCGGGGAAUAUCAGAAGCUUCGAGAACGGAAGCUAGCCGAGAUUAAUGCAAGCUCGAAUCCGCUCGAGAAGACCGUCGAGGUUACAAGACCGGCGCCGAAACCAAUCGCGCCUGUACCAACGAUAAAAGACGUUAUUGGCAGAGCUGUAGAUCAUAUCGGAACUUUCAAGGAGCUGACCACCAAACAGCAAGUGGUAGCAUUGAUAGACGACGAUAUGUGUAUAAAUUGUGGAAAGUGCUACAUGGCCUGCGCAGACUCUGGUUACCAGGCGAUCCAGUUCGACGGUGAAACUCACAUUCCAAAAGUGACCGACGACUGUACAGGCUGUACCCUCUGCCUCUCAGUGUGCCCCAUUAUCGAUUGUAUCACUAUGGUGCCUAAAACGAUACCCCACGUCGUCAAAAGGGGAAUACCGCCAGAAGGAGCUUUCGAACUUCCUUGAGCACGAUCAACAUGCGUGCUUUUGUUAUUAAAAAUGAUUAUAUUUAUUACCCAUUUUAUAAAAAUUCUUUAACCCCUCCGACCCGACACCUGUACGCCAUACUGACUCAAAGAGGAUUGUGUUUAGAAAAGCGUUCUGGAGCAUGUAGUACAAAACUUAACUACUUAGGCAGAGAGCAUAACAACUUUCUCAAUUAUUCAUUAGAGCAGGGGUAACGAACUGGCGGCUCGCGAGGCAGUUAUGGCUCCUCCCUCUACUUUCCUGUUCCACUCCAGCGCGGAAGAACUUCCCCCUCUGUUUCCACUAUCCAGAGCUGGGACGAAGGCUCCUGGCUGGGCACCUAAUUAGCGAGGAACCUGAUCACGUUACCGUUGCUGUUAUCCUGUAGCCUAAUGGCAUGGUCUGCAAGGUCUGAACACUCACAUUUGAAUUUGGUAUGUAAACAAUGAGAAUUCCUAAACUAUCAUAUCUGUUUCUCUAAACAACAUUCUUUUCUAAUUACUCUUUAAUUAUCUCACAAACGAAAAAAUGAUUUU